AGUGAACGCUGGCGGUAGGCCUAAUACAUACAAGUCGAACGGCAGCACAGUAAGAUUUUGCUCCUACGGGUGGCGGGUGGCGGACGGGUGAGGCAUACAUCGGAAUCUACUUUUUCUGGGGGGAUAUCGGGGGGAAACUUACGCUAAUACCGAAUAUGAUCUACGGCUGAAAUCAGUGGUUCUUGGGACCUUUCGCGAUUGAAUGAGCCGAUGUCGGAUUAGCUAGUUGGCGUGGUAAGGGCCCACCAAGGCGACGAUCCGUAGCUGAUCUGAGAGGAUGAUCAGCCACACUGGAACUGAGACACGGUCCAGACUCCUACGGGAGGCAGCAGUGGGGAAUAUUCGACAAUGGGCGAAAGCCUGAUCGAGCAAUGCCGCGUGAGUGAAGAAGGCCUUCGGGUCGUAAAGCUCUGUUAUUAGGAAAGAAAAACAGUGGAUUAAACUCCCGCCGUCCUGACGGUACCUAAAGAGUAAGCCCCGGCUAACUUCGUG
RNAcentral lists this ribosomal RNA (492 nucleotides) under uncultured bacterium. Its description in RNAcentral is "partial 16S ribosomal RNA". It matches the Rfam family "Bacterial small subunit ribosomal RNA", at positions 29 to 507 of the family's 1533-position model. The record is from RNAcentral.